AUGCCUCCAAAAAAAAGACGCAACCUCAUUGUCAAUGCACAUGCCCAACCGGGUGUGGGAAGACGGCACCUGAACGAGAAUUUUUCAACACUUCCUGCUACCAGCACUGAGUUGAAAAAGGGACAUGUAUUACACCUGUACGUCUGUGCAGCGGGAAGUAAUAGAGCUGAGACAGCGAGACAAUUAAAAACACAUUUUUCACCUGAGGGCUUUUCUUUCAGGAAGUCCCUGAGUUCUGAUAUAAGAAUGGUUGUGACAGCAACAUUGAAUAAGUAUAAACAACUCACUGACCCAAAAGAAUUUGAACAGUUUUCAGCAAUAUGUGAUGAACCGUUUGACCUCACUGAGGCAGUUGAUCCUGAGUUCACAGUUCCUGUUGCACAGUUGCCAGUUCCUCAAGUUCCUGUUGUUUCACCUGGAAUUUUUGAUGAGAAAUUAACUGUUGAACAAACAGAUUCCGACACAAUGACCAGAACUCCAGACAGUCACCUUCAAGUUCAUUCUGAGCCAGGGUCCUCUGCCGGUUCAAGGAGUCUUCGAGGUGACCCGCUCACUCCUCAAGAAGCUAAGAUGAAACAACGAUCGGAUUUUAUGUUGUCAACCCACAGAGGAGUGAAAAAGAGAUACCAAGAAAAAGUGAGAGAAUUGAGGAGGCAGCUUCAGACCCCAAGAAAGUGCAUAAACCAAGGCAUUCAGAGGCAAAAGAAUAGAGUUGAGACAAGAAAAGAAGAGAUUAAAAAGCUAAAGGGUAUGUUGUAUAGGAAUGUCCUCUACCGUGAAUUACAGAAAGAAAGAAAUCGCAACAAAACACUGAAGGAUACGCACAGGAAACUUCUUAAAAGAAGAAAAAGCACCGAGACUGUUUCUGUGGCAGAAUAUAAUGAAGUCGUAAUAAAGGUGAAGGAGAAGGACAGUGUGAUAUCAGAACUUCAACAUGAACUCCUGCUUCUUCAGGAAAGAGUUGAAGACUUGACUUCAACCACAGAACAUCCUAAGGGGCCAAAAGUUAAUAGAAAGACGUACUCAUCAGCCAUGAGAAUGAAAGUAUAUGACUGUAUAAGUAGUAAAGUGUCGACGGCAAAUAUACCAGUAGUCUUACAGAGUAUAGCGAAGCGUGAUGGAAUUGAGCUCAAAACUGUACCCCAAAGAAGCACUGUUGAGUUGAUGGCCCAGGAAUUAGGAGUGAUUUCUCAACUGCAGACGGCUGAAAUGAUAUUGGCUAAUAAUAAUGUGACUUUGGGAUUUGAUGCAACUACCCAGGAAGGUACCCAUGUCAACGAAAUCCAUUUUAGUACCGAACAUGACAGCAUGUCAGCUGCAGUGGAUGAGUUGGCAGGAGGAACAGCAGAAGACUACUGCAAUCAUAUCUGCCAAACUGUAGAUGAUUUGGCCCACACUUAUGUUUUCUUUACUAAAGGGACAAACUUCGAGGAAACUAGGGCAAAAUUGAUUGAGAAGAUAUCAAAUGCGAUGACUGACCAAUGUGCGACCAAUCACGCGGCCGUCCGUCUCGUAAGUAGCGAGUGGGGGAAAACGCUGAACGAGAUCAACUGCCACUUGCACCCCCUGGAUUCGAUUGCGACAGCAUGUAGGUCUGCAUUGAAGAAAGUUGAAGAAACUGAUGGGAAUGUUUAUGGUGGGGACUGUAUGGCAGCAAAUGUCAUACUGUCCUUUAGCAAACUUCGUUACAAGGACGGAAAGGGAGACCCCCAUGGUUUUGUGACUUUUUUGGAUCAGAAGAAACUCCCGAGGGGCAUUCUACCUCGUUACAGGGGCAAUCGAUUUCACGUGUUAUUUCACAGUGCUGGUGUACUUAUUGAGCACUAUGAGGUAUUUUUGGAGUUGUUGAAAGAUGGCACAACCCUAGACCGUAACUUGAGAGAGAGCCUUUGCAAGGAUUUUUCAAGUGAAAUAGCUCAAGUGGAACUUCAGGUCCUAGGAAUCAUUGGGAAGCACCUGACAGGUCCCUGGAUGACUAAAUUGUACACCCCAGUGGUUUCUGGGAUAAGUCAUGUUGAUGGCAUAGAACUGGUCAAGCAGGCCACUCAGAGACUCAAGGAGAUGUUGCAGGACCCUCUUCAGAUUCUGUCAUCCACGGAGGAUUUUUUUGGGCAAGAGAUUGUGUUGGGCAAUACAUUAGCGAAGUUGAGGGCAAUGCCUCAUCAUCCCCAAUUUGUUCCCAUGAUGUCUUCUUGUCUUCAGGCAACUAUUGAUGUCCUUGAGCGCCAGUAUGCCAAGUACUUCACGCUAGAAGUGACAGAAAAGCUUCGGGAGGAAACCGCUUCCGUUAGAUGUCACAACAUGGAUUCAGAAGAGUUAAUGGGGAUGUUUAGUGCUUUUCAGAAAAAGGCACCGCGUGCCACGGUCAGUUUUCUCUCUGCCCGGAUGAGAGCCUGCAAGAACAAGACGGUGGAGUACCUGGAGGAGCUAGACGAUGAAAGGAGGGAACUUGUGCUGGAAAAGGCUGUCCGAUGGGGACGAAUCCAAAGAGACAGGAAAAGAGUGACUCGCAGAGAACUGAAAUUGGAGCUGAUUAGGCGGCAGAAAGACAAACGGCAGGAAAGAAAAAACGUUAAAAGAAAGAAAGUUUAG
Long non-coding RNA from Scleropages formosus (Asian bonytongue), 2592 nucleotides. The record is from Ensembl. Lineage: Eukaryota; Metazoa; Chordata; Actinopteri; Osteoglossiformes; Osteoglossidae.